AGAGUUUGAUCAUGGCUCAGGAUGAACGCUGGCGGUAUGCUUUACACAUGCAAGUCGUACGGGAGUUUUGAACUCCAGUGGCGGACGGGUGAGUAACACGUAAGAAUUUGCCUUUAGGAGGGGGAUAACAACUGGAAACGGUUGCUAAUACCCCAUAUGCUUUCGAGUGAAAUGGAUGUUUCCGCCUAGAGAGAAGCUUGCGGCUGAUUAGCUUGUUGGUAAGGUAACGGCUUACCAAGGCGACGAUCAGUAUCUGGUUUGAGAGGACGAUCAGACACACUGGAACUGAGACACGGUCCAGACUCCUACGGGAGGCAGCAGUGGGGAAUUUUCCGCAAUGGGCGAAAGCCUGACGGAGCAAUACCGCGUGAGGGAUGACGGCCUAUGGGUUGUAAACCUCUUUUUUCAGGGAGGAAAAAAAUGACGUUACCUGAAGAAUAAGCAUCGGCUAACUCCGUGCCAGCAGCCGCGGUAAGACGGAGGAUGCAAGUGUUAUCCGGAAUCACUGGGCGUAAAGCGUCUGUAGGUGGUUGAAUAAGUCAACUGUUAAAUCUUGGGGCUCAACCUCAAAAUCGCAGUCGAAACUAUUCGACUCGAGUAUAGUAGGGGUAAAGGGAAUUUCCAGUGGAGCGGUGAAAUGCGUAGAGAUUGGAAAGAACACCGAUGGCGAAGGC
This 674-nucleotide ribosomal RNA is filed under the name uncultured bacterium. RNAcentral's name for it is "bacterial SSU rRNA". It matches the Rfam family "Bacterial small subunit ribosomal RNA", at positions 8 to 722 of the family's 1533-position model. The record is from RNAcentral.